GAGGGUAUAGCUCAAGUGGCAGAGCACAUGCUUAGCAUGCAAGAGGUCCUGGGUUCAAUUCCCAGUACUUCCU
This 73-nucleotide transfer RNA is filed under the name Camelus bactrianus (Bactrian camel). It matches the Rfam family "tRNA". From Rfam's summary of the family: Transfer RNA (tRNA) molecules are approximately 80 nucleotides in length. Lineage: Eukaryota; Metazoa; Chordata; Mammalia; Artiodactyla; Camelidae. The record is from Rfam by way of RNAcentral. RNAcentral also lists the same sequence under 2 other names.